RNAcentral lists this ribosomal RNA (493 nucleotides) under uncultured bacterium. RNAcentral's name for it is "partial 16S ribosomal RNA". It matches the Rfam family "Bacterial small subunit ribosomal RNA", at positions 28 to 506 of the family's 1533-position model. The record is from RNAcentral.
GACGAACGCUGGCGGCGUGCUUAACACAUGCAAGUCGAACGGUGAAGCGCCUUCCUUUUUGGUGGGUGUGGAUGAGUGGCGAACGGGUGAGUAACACGUGAGUAACCUGCCCCCUUCUUCUGGAUAACCGCAUGAAAGUGUGGCUAAUACGGGAUAUUCUGGGUCUGUCGCAUGAUGGGUCUGGGAAAGAUAUUGUUUCGGUGGGGGAUGGGCUCGCGGCCUAUCAGCUUGUUGGUGGGGUGAUGGCCUACCAAGGCGGUGACGGGUAGCCGGCCUGAGAGGGUGGACGGUCACACUGGGACUGAGACACGGCCCAGGCUCCUACGGGAGGCAGCAGUGGGGAAUAUUGCACAAUGGGCGCAAGCCUGAUGCAGCGACGCCGCGUGAGGGAUGGAGGCCUUCGGGUUGUGAACCUCUUUCGCCAGUGAAGCAGGCCUGCCUCGUUUGUGGGUGGGUUGACGGUAGCUGGAUAAGAAACGCCGGCUAACUACGU